GCCAGGCAUUGUGACGGGUGCCUGUGGUCCCAGCUACUUGGGAGGCAGAGGCAGGAGACUAGCUUGAGCCCAGGAGUUGGAGGUUGCUGUGAGCUGUGAUGCCAUGGCACUCUACCCAAGGGAAUAGCUUGAGGCUCUGUCUCACUAUAUACUGAGGGAACGAUCCAACAAAAAGACAUUUCUUUUUUUUGAGACAGAGCCUCAAGCUGUCCCCCUGGGUAGAGUGCUAUAGCAUCACAGCUCACAGCAACCUCCAACUCCUGGGCUCAAGCU
Otolemur garnettii (small-eared galago) is the source of this 273-nucleotide non-coding RNA. The record is from Rfam. NCBI's taxonomy places the organism in Eukaryota, Metazoa, Chordata, Mammalia, Primates, Galagidae.